UGUCAUUUAUAAACAUAAUUAAACUAAAUAAUUCUAAAACAAAAUUAACCUAAUAAUUCUUAAAACAAAAUUAACCUAAAAAAAUAUAAUUCCCGCUCCUUCCUCUCCUCCUCUUCUUCCUCUCCUUCCUCUUCUACUUCUUCUCUUUUUCUUCUAGUUCUCCUCUUCUUCUAUUUUUCCUCUACUUCUCGUCUUCAUUCCCAUUUCCGGCAAUUCUAGGGCACUUCAUAUGUCCUAGUUUCUAGCACUAGUCAUGCCGAAAUUCACGAAAAAAUUCGGCAUGACCUUUGCUAAAAAGUGGACAUAUGGAGCGCCUGAAAUUUGCCGGAACGGAAAUGAAUCAACAUUCUGGCAAAACAUAGGUCACUCGGAUAUAGCAACAAUUUGGAACUAAAUUAAGUACAGAUCUCUGCAUUGUCUGUUUAUACACUUCUGAAUGCAUCAAGAGCAUCCAAAAUCUGGAGCAAACAAUGAUUGAAAUUUUCCAAAAUCUGAAUGCACCAAGAGCAUCCAGAGUCUAGAGAAAACAAUGAUUAAAUUUUCAGCUAAGGACAUGGCGAUUUAUUUAACCUAUCAUGCAUCUCAGCUACAACAACAAAUAUACAACAGGUGCGCCAAUAUGUGCUGUCAGCUAUGUGCCAAUGUUUUUAACAUAGCAAAAGCUAGGCAGCACUUAAUCCACAUGUCAAAAUGCUACCAACACCAUAGAGAAAAAAACCCAGAACUCUAGGAUUUUUCUUUGAAGAUUUAACAGAAAAACUUAAGCUAAGGAAACAAUCAUCUGCCAUGCUUAUGUUCUAAAUUCUCAUUAACAAAUCUGAACCUCCAGUCUACAAACGUAACAAAACAGACAAUUGUAUAAGCUACAAACAUAAUCAUAAAAAAA
This 886-nucleotide long non-coding RNA is filed under the name Hordeum vulgare. RNAcentral describes it as "long non-coding RNA (HVUL_LNC011341)". Lineage: Eukaryota; Viridiplantae; Streptophyta; Magnoliopsida; Poales; Poaceae. The record is from RNAcentral.